AUUAUGAGGAAACUCAAUUCUUUUUAUGUCAAAUGUGUUAUUUGAUUUGUAAUAUAUUGCAAAUUUUGAUUGUCUUAUGCUAUUUAUGAGAGUUUUAGUGUUUAUAGUUGUUGCUCAUUUUGACUAUCAAUUAAGUAAAAAAAUUUUGAGUACUAUAGAACUAGUAGAAUAUUUUUAUUAUAGUUGUAACUAUUUUUUAUUAAUUAAUAUAAAUAUAUUCGAUUAUUACCAAUUAUUCAUAAUUUUUCUAAAUAAUAAUUAAUUAAUGUUAAUAUAAUGAAUAUUUUUACCAAUAAUUCAAAAUACUAUUAUACGUGAUUGUUUAGUAAUAUUUGGUUAUUAUUAACUAUAAUUAUAAUAAUUAAUGUAAUAAUUAAUAAAAAAUUAAUAAUAUUUUAAUUUAAUUAAUAUCAAAAUUUAUAAUUAAUAAAUAAUUUUAUUUAAUACAAAAAAUAAUAACUAAAUUAAUACAAGAAUUAAUUAUACAAUAUGCACCACCAUUUAAUAAUUGCCCUUUUAAAAUUUUCAUUUAGCAACAUUUGUUAAUUGUUGCUAAUUCUUCAGCAUCAGCAACACUUUCUCCAUAUGUUGAUAAAAGAUUCAACAACACGGGCAUAGGCAACCCUAAAAGUUAAGUGUUGCUAAGAGAUUUAGUCACAUUUCUUACUCAUUUGGCAACAUCUAUAAAUGUUACUAAAUCUAUACAUUCUUGUAAUUAGAGAGAGAGAGUUGAGCUGGAAUGCUAUCAGUAGCAAACGGGCUCCGUUGCCACCCAUUUGUUUUCGAUGAUGGAGCCUUCAAAUCGACGAUCGAUAUCGUUGAAUAUGAUCUAUAUCACUUGAAGUAUCUAGAAAUCAAAUUUCAAAUCUUUUCGACAUCAUUGACCUAAUAAUCAAACGGUUUCAAAAUUUGUAAUUUUAAUGAUCGAUAUAAGGCAUUUUCUCGUUUAACUGUGUAAAGUUAUCCAAAUCAAUUGAAUUUUUGUUAAAAAAUUCUUUAAACUAUUUAGAACAAGAUCCAUACUCUCGAUCUUGAUUACAAAAUUUCUCUUAUUACUUUUUAGAGGAUAUUCAUUUUCAGUCGUUCAUUUUUACGCCCACUUGAUGAAUAAGAAAACAAUAUCGGAAAAGCAUUAAAUUUGAUUUCUAGAUACUUCAAGUGGUAAAGAUCAUUUUCAAAGGUAUCGAUCGUCGAUUUGGAGGCUCCAUCAUCAAAAACAAAUAAGUGGCAACGGAGUCAGUUUACUACUGAUAGUAUUCCAGCUCAUCUCUCUCUCUCUCUCUCUCUCUCUAUAUAUAUAUAUAUAUAUAAUGUAAAAUAAAUUCGAAUUCGAAUCAGGUUCGGAUUCGGGUCGGAUACAUUCAAAAUUCAUAUCUGAAUCCAUAUCUGUCAGAUUUUUGUUUUUCAUAUCUAUAUCUAAAAUCAUAUUCGUUUAGUAUCGAAUAAAUUCACUCAAUUUGAAUUUGAAUUCGAAUUCGAAUAAAAUCUCAGGUAUCCGUACACACUGACAUC
This 1512-nucleotide long non-coding RNA is filed under the name Ananas comosus (pineapple). RNAcentral's name for it is "long non-coding RNA (ACOM_LNC035490)". The record is from RNAcentral. Lineage: Eukaryota; Viridiplantae; Streptophyta; Magnoliopsida; Poales; Bromeliaceae.